Molecule: ribosomal RNA, 424 nt
Filed under: uncultured eukaryote
Lineage: Eukaryota
Description: SSU rRNA
Rfam family: Eukaryotic small subunit ribosomal RNA
Source: RNAcentral
CCAGCAGCCGCGGUAAUUCCAGCUCCAAUAGCGUAUAUUAAAGUUGUUGCAGUUAAAAAGCUCGUAGUUGGACAUCGGGCGCGUGCGCGUGGUCCGCCGAAAGGUGUGCACCGUGUUUAUCAGCGCGCGUCCUCUUUCCGUAGACCGCGUGUGCCCUUAACUGGGUGUGCGACGGGGAUGCGGAUCGUUUACUUUGAAUAAAUUAGAGUGUUCAAAGCAGGCUUUCGCUUGGAUACAUUAGCAUGGAAUAAUGGAAUAGGACUUUGGUUCUAUUUUGUUGGUUUCUAGGACCGAAGUAAUGAUUAAUAGGGAUAGUUGGGGGCAUUAAUAUUUAAUUGUCAGAGAUGAAAUUCUUGGAUUUAUGAAAGAUUAACUUCUGCGAAAGCAUUUGCCAAGGAUGUUUUCAUUAAUCAAGAACGAAAGU